GAUGAACGCUAGCGGGAGGCCUAACACAUGCAAGCCGAGCGGUAUUAUUUCUUCGGAAAUGAGAGAGCGGCGUACGGGUGCGGAACACGUGUGCAACCUGCCUUUAUCUAGGGGAUAGCCUUUCGAAAGGAAGAUUAAUUCCCUAUAAUAUAUUUUUUGGCAUCGAAAGAUAUUGAAAACUCCGGUGGAUAGAGAUGGGCACGCGCAAGAUUAGCUAGUUGGUGAGGUAACGGCUCACCAAGGCAAUGAUCUUUAGGGGGCCUGAGAGGGUGAUCCCCCACACUGGUACUGAGACACGGACCAGACUCCUACGGGAGGCAGCAGUGAGGAAUAUUGGUCAAUGGGUGCAAGCCUGAACCAGCCAUCCCGCGUGAAGGACGACUGCCCUAUGGGUUGUAAACUUCUUUUGUAUAGGGAUAAACCUACCCUCGUGAGGGUAGCUGAAGGUACUAUACGAAUAAGCACCGGCUAACUCCGUGCCAGCAGCCGCUGUAA
This 495-nucleotide ribosomal RNA is filed under the name uncultured bacterium. RNAcentral's name for it is "partial 16S ribosomal RNA". It matches the Rfam family "Bacterial small subunit ribosomal RNA", at positions 28 to 523 of the family's 1533-position model. The record is from RNAcentral.